AAAGAAACCAACAGGGAUUGCCCCAGUAACGGCGAGUGAAGCGGCAACAGCUCAAAUUUGAAAUCUGGCCCCCACGCGGGAGUUGUAAUUUGGAGAGGAUGCUUUUGGCGAGGCGCGCCCGAGUUCCCUGGAACGGGACGCCGCAGAGGGUGAGAGCCCGUCUGGCUGGCCGCCGAGCCUCUGUAAAGCUCCUUCGACGAGUCGAGUAGUUUGGGAAUGCUGCUCAAAAUGGGAGGUAUAUGUCUUCUAAAGCUAAAUACCGGCCAGAGACCGAUAGCGCACAAGUAGAGUGAUCGAAAGAUGAAAAGCACUUUGAAAAGAGGSACAGUACGUGAAAUUGUUGAAAGGGAAGCGCUCGUGACCAGACUUGGGCCUGGCGGAUCAUCCGGCGUUCUCGCGGUGCACUUCGCCCGCCAGGCCAGCAUCAGUUCGCCCCCGGGGGACAAAGGCGGCGGGAAUGUGGCUCCCCCGGGAGUGUUAUAGCCCGCCGCGCAAUCCCUGGGCGGACUGAGGUUCGCGUCGCAAGGAUGCUGGCGUAAUGUCACCAGCGACCCGUCUUGAAACNCGGCCAANNNNNCAUGCGAGUGUUCGGGUGUCAAACCCUACGCGUAAUGAAAGUGAACGCAGGUGAGAGCUUCGGCGCAUCAUCGACCGAUCCUGAUGUUCUCGGAUGGAUUUGAGUAAGAGCAUACGGGGCCGGACCCGAAAGAAGGUGAACUAUGCCUGUAUAGGGUGAAGCCAGAGGAAACUCUGGUGGAGGCUCGCAGCGGUUCUGACGUGCAAAUCGAUCGUCAAAUAUGGGCAUGGGGGCGAAAGACUAAUCGAACCUUCUAGUAGCUGGUUUCCGCCGAAGUUUCCCUCAGGAUAGCAGUGUUGAUCUCAGUUUUAUGAGGUAAAGCGAAUGAUUAGGGAACCGGGGGCGCCAUUUAGCCUUCAUCCAUUCUCAAACUUUAAAUAUGUAAGAAGCCCUUGUUGCUUAAUUGAACGUGGGCAUUCGAAUGUAUCAAC
Molecule: ribosomal RNA, 1008 nt
Filed under: Hypomyces subiculosus
Lineage: Eukaryota; Fungi; Ascomycota; Sordariomycetes; Hypocreales; Hypocreaceae
Description: LSU rRNA
Rfam family: Eukaryotic large subunit ribosomal RNA
Source: RNAcentral